Molecule: ribosomal RNA, 253 nt
Filed under: uncultured bacterium
Lineage: Bacteria
Description: partial 16S ribosomal RNA
Rfam family: Bacterial small subunit ribosomal RNA
Source: RNAcentral
AACGUAGGAGACAAACGUUAUCCGGAGUUACUGGGCGUAAAGGGCGCGUAGGCGGCUUGCACCGUCAGAUGUGAAAUUCCUGGGCUUAACCUGGGGGCUGCAUUUGAUACGUGUGGGCUUGAGUGCGGAAGAGGGUCGUGGAAUUCCCAGUGUAGAGGUGAAAUUCGUAGAUAUUGGGAAGAACACCGGUGGCGAAGGCGGCGACCUGGUCCGUGACUGACGCUGAGGCGCGAAAGCGUGGGGAGCAAACAGG